GGCCCGAUGGCGCAAUGGUAGCGCGUCAGAUUCCAGUUCACAUGAAUCUAGAAACCUGAAGGUUGGGUGUUCAAAUCACUCUCGGGUCA
Plenodomus lindquistii is the source of this 89-nucleotide non-coding RNA. The record is from the annotation of a GenBank genome assembly. NCBI's taxonomy places the organism in Eukaryota, Fungi, Ascomycota, Dothideomycetes, Pleosporales, Leptosphaeriaceae.